GGCUCAUUGGUCUAGGGAUAUGAUUCUUGCUUCAGUUCCAAGAGGUCCCAGGUUCAAAUCCUGGAUGAUCCC
RNAcentral lists this transfer RNA (72 nucleotides) under Monodelphis domestica (gray short-tailed opossum). It matches the Rfam family "tRNA". Rfam says of the family: Transfer RNA (tRNA) molecules are approximately 80 nucleotides in length. The record is from Rfam by way of RNAcentral. Lineage: Eukaryota; Metazoa; Chordata; Mammalia; Didelphimorphia; Didelphidae.